This 824-nucleotide ribosomal RNA is filed under the name uncultured Dehalococcoides sp. Its description in RNAcentral is "bacterial SSU rRNA". It matches the Rfam family "Bacterial small subunit ribosomal RNA", at positions 56 to 885 of the family's 1533-position model. The record is from RNAcentral. Lineage: Bacteria; Bacillati; Chloroflexota; Dehalococcoidia; Dehalococcoidales; Dehalococcoidaceae.
UGCAGUCGAACGGAGAACUUUUGGUAAUUUAUUAUCGGAGGUUCUUAGUGGCGAACGGGUGAGUAACGCGUUGGUGACCUGCCCCAAAGCGUGGGAUAACCCUGGGAAACCGGAGCUAAUACCACAUGUGAUCAUGAGCAUUAGAAAACCAUGAUUAAAGGACCUCGGUUCACUUUGGGAGGGGCCUGCGUCCCAUCAGCUAGUUGGUAGGGUAAUGGCCUACCAAGGCUAAGACGGGUAGGGGACCUGAGAGGGUGGCCCCCCACAAUGGUACUGAAACACGGACCAUACACCUACGGGUGGCAGCAGUAGGGAAUAUUGCACAACGGACGAAAGUCUGAUGCAGCAACGCCGCGUGUGCGAUGAAGGCCUUCGGGCUGUAAAGCACUUUUCUGAGGGAAGAGGAAGGACGGUACCUCAGGAAUAAGUCUCGGCUAACUACGUGCCAGCAGCCGCGGUAACACGUAGGAGGCAAGCGUUAUCCGGAUUUACUGGGCGUAAAGCGCGUGCAGGCGGUUCGGUAAGUUGGAUGUGAAAGCUCCUGGCUCAACUGGGAGAUGCCGUUCAAUACUGCCGGACUCGAGGACGGUAGAGGGAGGUGGAAUUCCCGGUGUAGUGGUGAAAUGCGUAGAUAUCGGGAGGAACACCAGUGGCGAAAGCGGCCUCCUAGGCCGUUCCUGACGCUAAGACGCGAAAGCAUGGGUAGCGAACGGGAUUAGAAACCCCGGUAGUCCAUGCCGUAAACGAUGCGAACUUGGUGUUGGUGGUGUAAAAGCCAUCAGUACCGAAGCUAACGCGAUAAGUUCGCCGCCUGGGGAUUACGA